CUGCUGCCUUCCGUAGGAGUUUGGACCGUGUCUCAAUUCCAAUGUGGGGGACCUUCCUCUCAGAACCCCUACGCAUCGUCGGCUUGGUGGGCCGUUGCCCCACCAACUACCUAAUGCGCCGCAUGCCCAUCCGUGACCGGAGUCGCCCCCUUUGGCCGGAAAGGGAUGUCCCUUCCCGGCGUCAUGCUGUAUUAGGCGGGAUUUCUCCCGGUUAUCCAUCUGUCACGGCCAGGUUGCAUACGUGUUACUCACCCGUGCGCCGGUCGCCGG
RNAcentral lists this ribosomal RNA (270 nucleotides) under uncultured bacterium. RNAcentral describes it as "partial 16S ribosomal RNA". The record is from RNAcentral.